This 237-nucleotide unclassified non-coding RNA is filed under the name plant metagenome. Its description in RNAcentral is "partial contains small subunit ribosomal RNA, internal transcribed spacer 1, and 5.8S ribosomal RNA". The record is from RNAcentral.
UUUCCGUGGGUGAACCUGCGGAAGGAUCAUUCAUGAGAACUAAGUGUAGUAGUUUCGACUACUACUCCGACCACUCCACUCUUUGUUUAUAUUACCUUUUUUGCUUUAGCAGGCCCGCUCUCGGGCCGCCGGCACCUGCUGGCCAGCGCCUGCUAAAGUACAUAAAAUUCUUUUUAAUUAUAUUGUCUGAGUACUAUAUAAUAGUUAAAACUUUCAACAACGGAUCUCUUGGUUCUG